Non-coding RNA from Pelobates cultripes (western spadefoot toad), 266 nucleotides. The record is from the annotation of a GenBank genome assembly. NCBI's taxonomy places the organism in Eukaryota, Metazoa, Chordata, Amphibia, Anura, Pelobatidae.
AUACUGACACACACACAGACACUGAGAGAAGUAUUAACACACACACAGACAUGCUGACACACACAUGCAUACUGAUAUACACACACUUACACAGACAGACAUAGUGACACAUACAAAGACAGACAUAGUGACACACACAAAGACAGACAUACUGACACACACACAGACAGACAUACUGACAUACACACAGACAUACUGCCACACACAGACAUACUGACACACACACACAGACAGAUAUUUGACACACACAGGCAUACUGACACACA